GAUGAACGCUGGCGGCGUGCCUAAUACAUGCAAGUCGAGCGAACGGACGAGAAGCUUGCUUCUCUGAUGUUAGCGGCGGACGGGUGAGUAACACGUGGAUAACCUACCUAUAAGACUGGGAUAACUUCGGGAAACCGGAUCUAAUACCGGAUGAUAUUUUGAACCGCAUGGUUCAAAAGUGAAAGACGGUCUUGCUGUCACUUAUAGAUGGAUCCGCGCUGCAUUAGCUAGUUGGUAAGGUAACGGCUUACCAAGGCAACGAUGCAUAGCCGACCUGAGAGGGUGAUCGGCCACACUGGAACGGAGCCACGGUCCAGACUCCUACGGGAGGCAGCAGUAGGGAAUCUUCCGCAAUGGGCGAAAGCCUGACGGAGCAACGCCGCGUGAGUGAUGAAGGUCUUCGGAUCGUAAAACUCUGUUAUUAGGGAAGAACAUAUGUGUAAGUAACUGUGCACAUCUUGACGGUACCUAAUCAGAAAGCCACGGCUAACUACGUG
Molecule: ribosomal RNA, 497 nt
Filed under: uncultured bacterium
Lineage: Bacteria
Description: partial 16S ribosomal RNA
Rfam family: Bacterial small subunit ribosomal RNA
Source: RNAcentral